RNAcentral lists this unclassified non-coding RNA (338 nucleotides) under soil metagenome. RNAcentral describes it as "partial contains 5.8S ribosomal RNA, internal transcribed spacer 2, and large subunit ribosomal RNA". The stretch from base 1 to 120 matches the Rfam family "5.8S ribosomal RNA", at positions 35 to 154 of the family's 154-position model. The record is from RNAcentral.
GAUGAAGAACGCAGCGAUAUGCGAUAAGUAAUGUGAAUUGCAGAAUUCAGUGAAUCAUCGAAUCUUUGAACGCACAUUGCGCCCGGUAGUAUUCUGCCGGGCAUGCCUGUUCGAGCGUCAUUUCAACCAUCAAGCCCCAGCGCUUGUGUUGGGGGCCUGCGGCUGCCGCAGCCCCCUAAAAGCAGUGGCGGGCUCGCUAUCACACCGAGUGCAGUAGUUCAUCUUCUCUCCGGUCUUGUGAGGCGGGUUCCGGCCGUGAAACACCCCACUACAUUCAAGGUUGACCUCGGAUCAGGUAGGAAUACCCGCUGAACUUAAGCAUAUCAAUAAGCGGAGGA